GAUGAACGCUGGCGGCGUGCCUAAUACAUGCAAGUCGAGCGAACAGAUGAGGAGCUUGCUCCUCUGACGUUAGCGGCGGACGGGUGAGUAACACGUGGAUAACCUACCUAUAAGACUGGGAUAACUUCGGGAAACCGGCGCUAAUACCGGAUAAUAUAUUAAACCGCAUUGUUCAAUAGUGAAAGACGUUUUUGCUGUCACUUAUAGCUGGAUCCGCGCCGCAUUAGCUAGUUGGUAAGGUAACGGCUUACCAAGGCAACGAUGCGUAGCCGACCUGAGAGGGGGGUCGGCAGCACGGGAGGUGGACCACGGACAAGAGUACUAAGGGAGGCAGCAGAAGGGAAUCGGCGGCAAUGGGGGAAAGCAUGACGGAGCAAGGGAGCGUGAGAGAUAAAGGUCUCGGGAUAGGAAAAAUGGGUUAUGAGGGAAAAACAAAUGUGAAAGGAAAAAUACAGGAAGUGACGGUACCUAAACAAAAAGCCACGGCUAACUACGUG
This 497-nucleotide ribosomal RNA is filed under the name uncultured bacterium. RNAcentral describes it as "partial 16S ribosomal RNA". It matches the Rfam family "Bacterial small subunit ribosomal RNA", at positions 28 to 507 of the family's 1533-position model. The record is from RNAcentral.